Molecule: unclassified non-coding RNA, 2551 nt
Filed under: Leishmania donovani
Lineage: Eukaryota; Euglenozoa; Kinetoplastea; Trypanosomatida; Trypanosomatidae
Description: gene:unknown
Source: RNAcentral
CAACGGUGGGCAGCGCGUGCGCACAGCGCUCGCAUAUUCGGGCCACGGGGCCUGCUUCAGGACGGCGCUGUUGCCUGGGGAGGGGAACGGACUCGCUCUCUUCGUCUUCUCCGUCCCCGUCGCUGCCACGGGGACGUGCCGGGGUGACGUGCACGCUCACCGCGUGAGGCGAGGUGUGCUUCGAGCGUCGGGCGAUCCGCGAAUCUCGCGCAGCAUACCGGGCACCACGCCGGGCCGGACGCCCUCAUGGCCAGCACCGGCGAGGGUGGAGGCUCUGGCGGGGGCGGGGGGCGCCGCAACACCAGCGGAGCAGCGGGCAGCACGCCAUCCGCGCUCCGCCUCGUCGCUGCCAGGCGCCCGCCGCUGCAGCGAUCCCCAGUGCAUGGACGGGGUGCCCGCGCGGGCCUGUGCGAGGAUGGCCGCCCGUCGUACCGUGAGCUCAGCAUCCCUGCUCCUCUGGUGUGGGACGGCUGCCGCCAAGCACCUCUUGUCUCAGCGUGCCGCAUCGUGUAUCGCGGUUUCGGGCGAUGUCGGCCUGGCGUCUGAGGCCGGCGACCAGGCGCGUGAUCCACGCAGUCGGCGCCGGCUCCUCUGCCACUGCCGAUCCGGCAAGCCUGCCAACCUCGCCGUGGUGCGCCCAUCCGCAAUGGCCACAGGCAGACUGAAAUGAGAGGCGCACGCGACGGGCCGGCAGCGCCAGCACUUGUGCCCAGAUACGUCCGCCGCAUGCCCUCCCCCACCGCUGCGGGGCCCGUGCCGGGUGCCAAGCGGAGGGAGAGCGCGCCCGUAGCAACAGCGGCGCGGGCCCCCCUCUGCGCGUUGGCGGCUGCGCGUGAGGGCGGUGUGUGCAUGCGGAGCUGCGAAGGGGUCGCUGCCUGCACACCCGCGUGGGAGCCGCCGAAGCGCUGUGGCGCCGCCGAGGGGCAGUGGAUCCGCCUCCUCGAGCAGGUUCCCCGCUGUCCGCGCGCCGCGGGGUACCCACUGCGACUGCGGCCGCGGGGGGGAGGGGGGCGAGGGCGUUGCAGGGCUGCGCCCCUCCGUCGGGGCUGGCUCUUUGGUGCUGUUCGAUGAAUGCGCCCAGGAGAGGGCCAUGCUCGGGCGGCGCGCGGGGCGUCUUCUUCCCGGGGGUAGCCCCCAGAGGCGCCCGCCCUGGCCCCCAGAACGGCCUACGAGCGGGCCCCCCCCGGCGGUGUCCGCCAUGAGUCUGGCCAUGCGGUUUGCCUUGCCCGUGGGUGGCGCGUUGCGGCCGUGCAUGUGCGGUGGUGGGUGCGGCUGCGUGGCGGAUCCGCCGCUUCUCCCUGGUGCGCCUUCGGGCCGUCGCGGUGGUCUCGGGGUCGGCGCGGCCCUUGCGGAUCGAUUUGGCAACCAGCGGCCGGCACGGUUUCCGGCCCACCCCGCGUAAAGGGCAUAACGGGGCCACCGCUGCUACUGGCGGCGCCGGGCCAUAUCCCUCCCCAGGGUGGGCAGCGAGCUUGGCCACGCGGUGGCCACCCGGCGCUGUGGUGGCCCCCCCAUGGCCCCGUCUGCGCUGUGCCGUUUCUCGGGGUGCCACCACCGCUCGCGGGCGCCAGGUGUUUGCCCUCGGGCCCAUCGCGCGGGGGCAGGGCGGGGCAGGUGCCCGAACACGCCAACCACGCUUUCCGGUGGCGCGCACCGGCCGGCACCUUUACGGUCCCCACGGCGUGGCGCAAAGCAGCGCUGGACAGCCGCUGCGGCAACGCGCCCACCCAGCCGCCGCAGCACGGCCCCAGCCCGCAACGCAACCCACCGGCCCCCACUUUGUAGGCUGCCCUACAGCAGUUAUCAUCAUGCCGGUGGCCGCGGGGUGCACCCCUCGGGGUGGCUCAGGGCCCCCCCCACCAGCAGGCGGUGUGAGGACCGGCUGGGAUACGUCCGAAUCGUGCUGACACCCUGCUCAUCAUAUGGGUGGGGCAGAGGCAUCCGCUGUCGCAGGUCGCUCCAACGCAGCGCCAUCCAGGACGUGGCCGCUGACAUCAAGCAGCGACAAGUCGCACUGGCCCUCCCCACGUCCUGUGCGCCUGACCCUGUCGGGGCCAGGGGCGGCUUGGUGUUGGCAGGGAUGGGAAGGGGGGGGGGAGGAUCUGAUUGGCUACCUCGGAGUGUGAGCACUUAACGUAGAUGGCGUGCAGUGAUGUGUCUCUCCGUUAAAGAGCUAUGAAGGACUGUAAAAUGAAAAACGAAAAGUUGCUGAUCGACGUGGGGGAAAAAUGCAAAGAUGAAGAGCGGAUCUGCGUGAUUUUCGAGAUCCGUGUGUGUGGAAAACUUCUAUUGGCGAUUCAAGCGCUAAUUUGCUUGUCACAUACCCGCCUUUUCUUGGUUUGUCUCUUCAUUUGCCUGAUCCUUCUCGUGGCAUUCAUUGAGGUCGUUGGAGACAAUCCGGCAGCGACUAAAAUUGGUCUCCCUUUUAUGAAGGAGCGUACGCGUUCUGCAGGGCUUCAUGAAAGCACAAUGCACUUUUAUGUCAUCGUUUAUUGCUGUCAUAUUUUCUUUUGCCCUUGUUUUUCCGUUUUACUGAGCAUUGGGCAAACAG